RNAcentral lists this ribosomal RNA (253 nucleotides) under uncultured bacterium. Its description in RNAcentral is "partial 16S ribosomal RNA". It matches the Rfam family "Archaeal small subunit ribosomal RNA", at positions 474 to 727 of the family's 1478-position model. The record is from RNAcentral.
UACCAGCACCCCGAGUGGUCGGGACGAUUAUUGGGCCUAAAGCAUCCGUAGCCGGUUUUACAAGUCCUCCGUUAAAUCCAGCUGCUUAACAGAUGGGCUGCGGAGGAUACUAUAAGACUAGGAGGCAGGAGAGGCAAGCGGUACUCAGUGGGUAGGGGUAAAAUCCGUUGAUCCAUUGAAGACCACCAGUGGCGAAGGCGGCUUGCCAGAAUGCGCUCGACGGCGAGGGAUGAAAGCUGGGGGAGCAAACCGG